GGCCCGGUUGGAUGGUCUGCUCUAGGGUUUGUACUGUCCUGACUGGGUCUUCCCUUCUGGUGAGCUGUCGUGUUGUUCACUCAAUGCGGCAGGGAACCAGGACUUUUACUUUGAAAAAAUUAGAGUGUUUAAAGCAGGCAUUCGCUUGAAUACAUUAGCAUGGAAUAAUGGAAUAGGGCUGCUGCCCCAUUUUGUUGGUUUCUGGGACCGUAGCA
This 215-nucleotide ribosomal RNA is filed under the name uncultured fungus. RNAcentral describes it as "partial small subunit ribosomal RNA". The stretch from base 91 to 215 matches the Rfam family "Eukaryotic small subunit ribosomal RNA", at positions 737 to 864 of the family's 1831-position model. Lineage: Eukaryota; Fungi. The record is from RNAcentral.